Oenanthe melanoleuca is the source of this 607-nucleotide long non-coding RNA. RefSeq lists it as uncharacterized. The record is from RefSeq and is a predicted model, not a curated record. Lineage: Eukaryota; Metazoa; Chordata; Aves; Passeriformes; Muscicapidae. The transcript has 3 exons.
UAAGUUUCUUCAUUUAAUUAAAAAAGGCAAGCAACUUCAGAAGACCUGUGAUGUGCUAACAUGCUGUCUGCCAUAUUUAUUGAUUAUCCUUUAAAAGAAUAUAGAGCAUUUGACAAAGUAAUUUUGGUUAAAGUAUCUUAUUGUGGAAACUUUGCUGUUCCUCAAAUGUGCAGUGGAGAGAGGGGGCUGAGGAAAGGAAGGAAACUGAAGAACCCUCUGGAAGAUUAGUGAAUGCUGCAGCCAGCUUCAGCCUGAAUGAAAACUCAGUGAGGGAGCUGUCCAUCCUCUUGAACAUACUCCAGAGCAUGGCAGACGGCCAUGUGAUUGCCAGACACCCGGAUGUUCCCCUGGAAUUGUUACCCUGGAGAGAGUUUUGUGAACUCUUGUGUGAGAAUGUUGAAUCCCUGAUCUUGAACUUCCACGAGGCUAACAAGAGGAAUAUAUUGGCAAGCGCAAGACUGACACUAUGAACAACCUUCAGCAGAACCAGGAGGACACUUCUGCAAAAAUGUCUGGACAGUUAAAAGCACAGAAAGAAUGCUGGCAGAAAGAAAAGCAGUAUCAUGAAAACCAGUACUCAAAUCUCCUUGCAGAAGUUCAUGCAAGA